GGACAGUUACUCAAGUGGCUGAAGAGGCUCCCCUGCUAAGGGAGUAGGCGAUGUAAUUCGUGCGUGAGUUCAAAUCUCACACUGUCCGCCA
RNAcentral lists this transfer RNA (91 nucleotides) under Lachnospiraceae bacterium. RNAcentral describes it as "tRNA-Ser". It matches the Rfam family "tRNA". Rfam says of the family: Transfer RNA (tRNA) molecules are approximately 80 nucleotides in length. Lineage: Bacteria; Bacillati; Bacillota; Clostridia; Lachnospirales; Lachnospiraceae. RNAcentral also lists the same sequence under 1 other name. The record is from RNAcentral.